UGGGGAGUGGUGUAAAGGCAGCACAACGGACUUUGACUCCGUUAGUUCUGGUUCGAAUCCAGGCUCCCCAG
This 71-nucleotide transfer RNA is filed under the name Solirubrobacter ginsenosidimutans. Its description in RNAcentral is "Solirubrobacter sp. BXN5-15 tRNA". It matches the Rfam family "tRNA". From Rfam's summary of the family: Transfer RNA (tRNA) molecules are approximately 80 nucleotides in length. Their secondary structure includes four short double-helical elements and three loops (D, anti-codon, and T loops). The record is from Rfam by way of RNAcentral. RNAcentral also lists the same sequence under 1 other name. Lineage: Bacteria; Bacillati; Actinomycetota; Thermoleophilia; Solirubrobacterales; Solirubrobacteraceae.